RNAcentral lists this non-coding RNA (106 nucleotides) under bovine gut metagenome. Its description in RNAcentral is "FMN riboswitch (RFN element)". It matches the Rfam family "FMN riboswitch aptamer (RFN element)". Rfam says of the family: The RFN element is a highly conserved domain that is found frequently in the 5'-untranslated regions of prokaryotic mRNAs that encode for flavin mononucleotide (FMN) biosynthesis and transport proteins. This element is a metabolite-dependent riboswitch that directly binds FMN in the absence of proteins. The record is from RNAcentral.
ACUUCGGGGCAGGGUGAAAUUCCCUACCGGCAGUAAAGUCUGCGAGCCAUUUUUGGUUGAACUCGUGAAAUUCGAGUACCGACGGUAUAGUCCGGAUGAGAGAAGU